AUUGAACGCUGGCGGCAUGCCUUACACAUGCAAGUCGAACGGCAGCACGGGGGCAACCCUGGUGGCGAGUGGCGAACGGGUGAGUAAUGCAUCGGAACGUGUCCUGUUGUGGGGGAUAACCAGUCGAAAGACUGGCUAAUACCGCAUGAGAUCGAGAGAUGAAAGCGGGGGACCGCAAGGCCUCGCGCGAUAGGAGCGGCCGAUGCCGGAUUAGCUAGUUGGUGGGGUAAGAGCCCACCAAGGCGACGAUCCUUAGCUGGUUUGAGAGAACGACCAGCCACACUGGGACUGAGACACGGCCCAGACUCCUACGGGAGGCAG
This 321-nucleotide ribosomal RNA is filed under the name uncultured Pseudomonadota bacterium. RNAcentral's name for it is "bacterial SSU rRNA". It matches the Rfam family "Bacterial small subunit ribosomal RNA", at positions 29 to 351 of the family's 1533-position model. The record is from RNAcentral. Lineage: Bacteria; Pseudomonadati; Pseudomonadota.